RNAcentral lists this ribosomal RNA (431 nucleotides) under uncultured bacterium. RNAcentral's name for it is "partial 16S ribosomal RNA". It matches the Rfam family "Bacterial small subunit ribosomal RNA", at positions 29 to 507 of the family's 1533-position model. The record is from RNAcentral.
AACGAACGCUGGCGGCAGGCUUAACACAUGCAAGUCGAGCGCCCCGCAAGGGGUGCGGCAGCCGGGUGAGUAACGCGUGGGAACGUACCUUUUGGUUCGUAACAACUCCGGGAAACUGGAGCUAAUACCGGAUAAGCCCUAACGGGGAAAGAUUGAUCGCCGAAAGAUCGGCCCGCGUCUGAUUAGCUGGUUGGUGAGGUAACGGCUCACCAAGGCGACGAUCAGUAGCUGGUCUGAGAGGAUGAUCAGCCACACUGGGACUGAGACACGGCCCAGACUCCUACGGGAGGCAGCAGUGGGGAAUAUUGGACAAUGGGGGCAAGCCUGAUCCAGCCAUGCCGCGUGAGUGAUGAAGGCCUUAGGGUUGUAAAGCUCUUUUGUCCGGGAAGAUAAUGACGGUACCGGAAGAAUAAGCCCCGGCUAACUUCGUG